Molecule: long non-coding RNA, 220 nt
Organism: Perognathus longimembris pacificus (Pacific pocket mouse)
Lineage: Eukaryota; Metazoa; Chordata; Mammalia; Rodentia; Heteromyidae
Exons: 2
Source: RefSeq, a predicted model, not a curated record
GUAAGGAAAUGGAAAGACUUAGAAAAAAAGUGAACAAAGGAAAAGAAAUGUAUAUGUAUAUAUCACCCAAUCUGGAAGGAAUUGUUUUACGGUUAAUAAUCAUAGAGGUCCUAAGCACUGUAGACUAGAUUGACAAUGUACAUCAAGGGGAAGAUUUUUUUUUUGAAAAAAAAAGAAGAAAGCAAUGGGGGUGGGUUGAGAGGUUAGGGGAAAGGAAGGA